Chenopodium quinoa (quinoa) is the source of this 1767-nucleotide long non-coding RNA. RefSeq lists it as uncharacterized. Lineage: Eukaryota; Viridiplantae; Streptophyta; Magnoliopsida; Caryophyllales; Amaranthaceae. The record is from RefSeq and is a predicted model, not a curated record. The transcript has 2 exons.
UCGUAUGUAAACUAUCCCUACAUACUCCUAUUGGACAUAUCCCAUUUCAUUUAAAUAGGCCCAAUUCCCUCAUUUAAACCCUAUAGGUCAAAUGAUUCUUGACUUAAGCCCACUUACUUAUUAAGCCCAACCAUACUCUUUCUUCUCUACUCUAUAAAUACCUCCUAAAAUCCUAAAAUUUGCCGCACAAAGAGGCUCAAAAUCAGAUUUUUGCAAAGUAAGUAAUUUUUUACUUAUUUUCUUUCCAUUUUCCUUAUCUUUCUUUCUUUUUUUUCUUUUUCUAUUUUUCCUUAUUCUUUCUUUUUCCUCUUUGUUUUCCUCCUGCUGGUCUUGCGUGAGUGCUCCACUAAGCUGCCACGUGUCACGCCUUCCACCUCACCUCGCCGGAAAAAACACCGGCCACCUUCCGUCGGCAGUCCAGCCAACCAUCCGCCACCCACGCACGGAGACUUUAAGUUUGAGUGAUUUCUAUCAUUGUGGCUAGUUGGAAAGACGAUUGAAGGUGCGUAUGCGUGUAAGAUGUGUUAACUAUGCGUAGUACCAUGUUAGGAAGAAGUUAAAUUUGGUAUAAAGUAUGAGAUUAGUAUCAUGUUAAGUUGAUGUGAUACUUGAAAUGAUUGAUUGAUUAUCCAUGUCUUAUAUAUAAGCAUGUGAGCAUGUUGAAAUUAUUAUUAUGAGCUUAAUACAAGUUGAAAGAGAUUGAAUCAUGUAUAUUAUUUAAUAUUCAUUAUCAAGAAGGCAUGUAUUUAUUAUGCUAAGACUUAUAUAUGAUUAAAAGAGCUAAAGUUAUAUUUAUUGAGCAUAAUUCAUGAUUUUAUUCUGUUGAGUCGAGAAAGUUAGUUUAUUUAUUUACUCACCCAUAUAAGUUGAGGUCGAGUCAAGGAAGUUAGUUUAUUACUCAUUCACAUAAGUUGAGGUUGAGUCAAGGAAGUUUAUUAGUGCAUUUUAUGCACCAAAGUAGUAAUAGUGAAAUUUUGUGCACUAGGCAAGGAACCCUAUUUAAAAUGAAUAGUAUGUGCUCGCUAAUUAAUUCAAGAAUGAAAUGGAAGUAUGUGUUGGUUAUUGUUAUGUAUGUUUAUUUUUAUUGGUUGGAGUCAUCACAAGUUAAAUUGGUAAAUCACGUAAAGUGUAAGAGGAUACGCAUCAAAGCUCUUGGAACAUAUAUACUUUGAGUAUGAACACAUCGGGGGAGUUAUGCGACUUUAUAUUUGAUCAUAACUUCUACAUGGACUUUUUAUUAUUAUUAAUGUGUUGGAAUUCCGUCACAAGUAUGGCAUAGUAGGUUUCAAUUGGGGUAGCUCCCUAGUUGGAAUCUCAAUAUUUAAUGGGCUAUUCUAAGAGAAGGAAACUCGUUAAUCGCUAUUUAUUAAUAAAUAAAAUAGAUUCAUGAGUCAAAGGUAAGUUGACUUGUGUUGUAUGACAAACACCUUUUAUUUGUUUAUUUAUUAUUGUCUAUUUGUAGGAUAUUCAUGUUAGUGUGAUUGUUCCUAUGGUGCAUAUGUACUCAGCUUUUGCUGUUCGUACUUUGUUGUUUAUGUUUAGCUUUUCUUUGUACUGGCCCCUAUGAUUCAUUUUAUAUGGCGAGUAGUGAGGUUGAAAUAAAGAGAAGUACAAGUAGAAGGAGCAUAUCAAGCAUGUUGGGAUUGAACGAAGAGGGUUAUAUGUUUUUUUGUUUAUUAUUUAUUGUAUUGAAUUAAUUAUGUAAUCAUUGGCACUAACAUAUAAUUAUUGUUUUAAUAUUGUAUCCUGGUUUUUAAGAGCCUUAAA